CGGGGCGUGGCGCAGCCUGGCAAGCGCACCUGCCUUGGGAGCAGGGGGUCGGCCGUUCAAGUCGGCUCGCCCCGACCA
RNAcentral lists this transfer RNA (78 nucleotides) under Tepidimonas ignava. RNAcentral describes it as "tRNA-Pro". It matches the Rfam family "tRNA". From Rfam's summary of the family: Transfer RNA (tRNA) molecules are approximately 80 nucleotides in length. Lineage: Bacteria; Pseudomonadati; Pseudomonadota; Betaproteobacteria; Burkholderiales. The record is from RNAcentral. RNAcentral also lists the same sequence under 7 other names.